UCAGUGAAGGUUGAUUUAGAUAAACAGCUUUUUUUAUUUCUGCACUUCAAUCACAUAAGUCCCUGUAAAGCCUACAGUCUAUUUAUUUAUUUAAUGUUUAUUCAACAGGGGCAAUACAUACAACAUUGCCACAAAAAAUGGAAAAUGUUAUGUAUUUAAGACAUUUGGUACAGGUAAUUUGCAGUCUUUAGAGGAGGUCAGGCUGUAGAGGAGGACAAAAUACACUGAAUACUAUAAAUGCAAUAAUACAAAUACCAUGGAUAGUACAGUGAAUAGCAAGGUGACAUGAAUAAAUAAACAGCUACAAAAUUUAGAUUAAACAAUUACACAAAUUUAAUUUAGCAUUAAACAUUAAGAAAGUACUAUAUUGACAGUGACUUGAGAAUAGUUAAUGUUCACAUUUCUGCUGCUUAAGCCCAUGUUUAGCUUUAACAUUAAACCUCUUUAGUUCUGUUUGGGAUUUAAUUUCUGAUGGGAGAGAAUUUCAUAGUCGUGUACCGUGUACUGAGAGGGAUGAUUGGCCAAAUGUUGUCCUGCAUCUUCGAAUCUUACAGUUUUGCUCGGUUAUGCUCCUUGUUGUUGUCUUUCAAUUGUCUGUCUUAAAAAUCUGAGACAUCGCUCGUGGGACCAGUCCAUUUAUACACUUCAAAACAACUUUAAAAAAAGAGAAUUUUAUAGAAUUGAAACUAUGAGGCUCCAAUUGAUUUAUAACUCUAAAUAUAGAUAUAUAUGUUGUUAUAUACUUAACAGGGGCAGCAAUGUGUAUUAAACAGGCAGUAAAUGACAUUUACAUUUGGGACACACAAAUGUCCCAAAUGUACAAAUGAUUUCUGCAGCAAAGGAAAAAUUAAAUGGACAUUAUUUCUCCCCUCAUACUUAUCAGGGCCUGGCUUUUACAAUGUAUAUUUAUGACAUAUACAACCAUCUGACAGAAAAAUCAAGAAUGACAUUCAUCUAAAAAAAAAAAGGACUAUUCAGACUGAAGAAAGUGGAUAUUAAAAAUAUGACUUAUAGAAUUGUGUAGCAGAGAUGGUAGUGCAAACAUCAACUCCUUGAAUGUCAGUUCAUAUCAGGACACUUUGAAAGAAAAAACAGGAAAGACACUCACUCAUAACAAAUUUGAACGUCAUUUAUUACAAGCAGAGAUGAAGUACUGUAAAAGGAAAAAUGAAACCAGGACCUUAGAAGAUUUUUGAUCAUCUAUUAAACCUUCUUAUUAUCUAUCCUUUUUCCUCCUUUCUCAUGAUGUUUGAAAGUUUUGUUGUGAAAGUUUUCUACGUGUCUGAAUUUCUGUCUUCUGUUCAAGUAAAAUAAACUCAGGAGAACUGUUCAGGAACUUUAUGAAUGUUGCUGUUUUUGUCAAUAAAGUCAAGCUUUGUUUGUGACAGCUCAAAACAAUUUCUUCAUGAGUAUGUUUAUGUAAAAAACAACAUGGUUCACAUAACUUCUGGCAAGUUUAAUGCCAGCAAUGUGUACUAAAUGACAUUUAAAAAUGACAUUAAAUGCAGUAAAUGACAUUUAAAAAAAUAAAAUUCAAUACACAAUGGAAAAUAGAACCAUGACACUUUUGUUCCCGCUGAGGGUGAUUAAAGUCAGACUCUGUCACAAUGUCUCUCUUUGUUUAUUCUCGCGUUUUUUUCUUCUUCUUGUGAUGAGUCAGGUCACUAAAAACUCAUUUUGACGGUUUUCUUGCUCUGACGUGAGACAGUGAAUUCAGUUGGACAAGGAUAAGGGGUGAGAAAGAAGGAGGGCAGGAGGGAGGACAAGUAACACGUGCAGGAGUAACAUGACAAUCUAGAGAACACUCUAGUGGAAAUUCGUCUUUAUUUCUCGUCUCUGCGCACACCUUCAUCAAAUCCCACCUCCUUUAGUCUCUCUGGAUAAAGAAGAUUUCAUGCUAUUAGAGAGGUGUCCCUCAUUUUGUCCUUUCAUGAGGUGAAUAACUUUAUCUGUGAGCGCGUAUGGAAAAUAAGUCAAAAAAGUGCAGCAUUUCUGCUGCAGAUAAACUCAAACCACCCUGAUAGUCCCACCUCCAUCUUUAUCUGAGCCUACAGGAGGACAUCUCACACCCCAGACUGACUCCCACACCCUAACCCGGGAGAGGGUUACCAUGGUGACAGCAAGUCCCACCUUAACAUUACCUCCUGAAAGAACAUGUCAAAGUUAGUGUGCAACAUCUGUUAAGAAGCUGUGGUAAAUACAUGAAAUUAAUGGCUCUUUGCUGCAGAUAUUGUGUAUUUGUGCAAUUUUUUAAAAACUUUUUUUAAGGAUUAUUAUUCAAUCCCUAAAAAGUUUUCCGCAGCAGGCAAGAGGGCACAAUCCCCCUCAUGAGGACAAUUUGUCUUAGCAAAGUCAGGCUGAGACAAACUGUCAGGUAUUAAAGACAAACUACAGCAAACUACCACCUGCUCUAUCACAGCCCCGGCUUAAUUUGAAGCCGUGAAUCUGACGUGCCGUGUCUGUGUGACACAUCCAAUAAAAAGCACGUCCCAGCUCUGCGUAUCCUGGAAUCUGGCUGAGCAAGAGCUAUGAGAAAGAGUUUAAUAAGUCAGAUAACAUGACAUCAGCUGACAUAUCGCUAUAUUAAAUUCAAACCGUGUGAAACCAUCGCACAUAAAUCAUUGAGCUGUGAGAAGCAGAGACGAAGCACGUUAGAUGUAUAACUGCACUCUGAGAUUAGGAUGCAGGUUUCAGACUGAUGAGGAUCAGUGUGGGGUUACUCAUGUGGUUCUUUUAUUCAGACGUGUUCAUGUACCAGAGUUCAAAAGUCACACCUGGAGCCUGUAAAAGAGGUUCAGACAUGAAGAACAUUUCAAAAGUAUGAGAAACACAGAGUACCUUUGAAGAAACAUUGUACUGAUGAUGAUAAGUGUCUUACAGUGUACUAUUGUUUUUGUGUGUUAUACUCACAUGGAAACUUUCUUGAGUUAUUUUUUAGGCCACUUUGACUUUUUGGAUUAGACAGCUACCAUAUCAAGAGGAAAUGUGGGAUGAGGAGAGUCUAGAUGACAUUGAACAAAGAGUCAGGGGUCAAAUCAGAGGCAACAGGGGCGAGGGUUACAGCCUCUGUACAUGGGGCACCCUAAAUACUGGGUCAAGCCAGCGCCUACAAUAUCAUAUUAACUUUAAUGUUUAUGAUUCCAAUUUUUUUUAUUUACAGCUGUUGUGCAAAUUAGUGGGGUUUUAGCAGACAUUUAUGUCAUUGUUAAUCAUAUUAUAAUACUAAUAAUAAAAAACUGCAUAUAUUCAACAAAGGUCCCAAGGUUGCUUUACACCAAGGAGUAAUUAAAUAGUAAUAUCAUUAAAAUAGUAACAAAAAAGAAAUACUAAUAAUGAUUGAAUUUCCUUUAUUUGCAUUUCAAAACAUUUAAGUCUAUAUCAAGUAUGUAAAGCAAUGAUUACCAGAGUCUUGAUUUGGGAAACAAAUCAAUGCAAUGAAGCUCCUGUCAUCCACAGGUCAGUGUUUCUGAUGUGGUUUUCCACUGACAUCAGCCUUCUUAGCUGCACCUGUAUGCUUUGCUCACAGGCGGUAGCUCAAACCAAAGUACUUCAGUGAUAUUUCACACCGUUUGAUACGGUCUGCGUAUUACUUUUGACUUGGAAACUGAGCUUUUCUUUUAUUUUCUAAUAAAUGUGGCAAUAAAAAGUGCUGGGGUGUUAUUUUUGGUCGUGGCAGCAGAAAGAUGCUGCAGCAGCCUAACUAUGGUGUGCCACAAGGGAAAAAAACAGCCUGUAAUUAAAGAAAAAUGAUCUGUUAAUUUAGAUCCUGAUUGCACUGAAAUGCCGACAGCUCUAAUUCAUGUGCAUUUUAGUGAUACUGUGCAAAUUUUUAUCUAUCUUGACAUUUCUAAACCCUUCCUAAUAUUUUACAAUUAUUGUCAUUAGGCUUUUAUGCCUUUUAACUAGGAGAUAAGACAGUAGAUGGAGUAGAAACUAAGGAAGAGAGUGAAGGCCA
Xyrichtys novacula (pearly razorfish) is the source of this 3955-nucleotide non-coding RNA. The record is from the annotation of a GenBank genome assembly. Lineage: Eukaryota; Metazoa; Chordata; Actinopteri; Labriformes; Labridae.